AACGAACGCUGGCGGCAUGCCUAACACAUGCAAGUCGAACGAGACCUUCGGGUCUAGUGGCGCACGGGUGCGUAACGCGAGGGAACCUGCCCUUAGGUUCGGAAUAACUCCCCGAAAGGGGUGCUAAUACCGGAUAAUGUCUUCGGACCAAAGAUUUAUCGCCUUUGGAUGGGCCCGCGUUGGAUUAGCUAGUUGGUAGGGUAAAAGCCUACCAAGGCGACGAUCCAUAGCUGGUCUGAGAGGAUGAUCAGCCACACUGGGACUGAGACACGGCCCAGACUCCUACGGGAGGCAGCAGUGGGGAAUAUUGGACGAUGGGCGAGAGCCUGAUCCAGCAAUGCCGCGUGAGUGAUGAAGGCCUUAGGGUUGUAAAGCUCUUUUACCCGGGAUGAUAAUGACAGUACCGGGAGAAUAAGCUCCGGCUAACUCCGUG
Molecule: ribosomal RNA, 433 nt
Filed under: uncultured bacterium
Lineage: Bacteria
Description: partial 16S ribosomal RNA
Rfam family: Bacterial small subunit ribosomal RNA
Source: RNAcentral